This is a long non-coding RNA of Oncorhynchus tshawytscha (Chinook salmon), 4703 nucleotides long. The record is from Ensembl. Lineage: Eukaryota; Metazoa; Chordata; Actinopteri; Salmoniformes; Salmonidae.
CCCCUCUCCCGCUGCCUCCCUACACUGUAUCCAUGUGUCAGGGACGCACAGUGCUGUUGCCAAGGGUCAUAUUAAUCCUGUGUUUACCGAUACAGAGAGAAGCUAGCAUUGGAACACCUAUGUGAGAAUGCUAUUCAUUGACUACAGCUCAGCGUUCAACACCAUAGUGCCCUCAAAGCUCAUCACUAAGCUAAGGACCCAGGGACCUCCCUCUGCAACUAGAUCCUGGACUUCCUGACGGGCCGCCCCCAGGUGGUAACAACACAUCCGCCACGCUGAUCCUCAACACAGGGGCCCCUCAGGGGUGUGUGCUCAGUCCCCUCCUGUACUCCCUGUUCACUCAUGACUGCACGGCCAGGCAAGACUCCAACACCAUCAUUAAGUUUGCUGACGAUACAACAGUGGUAGGCCUGAUCACCGGCAAUGAUGAGACUAUAUGAUGAGACUAUAUUAUACCUCCUCCUCCUAUAGAGCACGCCCCCUUCUCAUCGACAGGGCUGUAGUGGAGCAGGUUGAGAGCUUCAAGUUACUUGGCGUCCACAUCACCAACAAACUAACAUGGUCCAGAGGGUGGUACGUACGGCCCAGUACAUCACCGGGGCCAAGCUUCCUGCCACCCAGGACCUCUAUACCAGUAUGUUUCAGAGAAAGGCCCUAAAAAUUGUCAAAGACUCCAGCCACCCCAGUCAUAGACUGUUCUCUCUGCUACCACACGGCAAGCAGUACUGGAGCCAAGUCUAGGUUCAAGAGGCUUCUAAACAGCUUCUACCCCCAAGCCAUUAGACUCCUGAACAUCUAAUCAAAUGGCUACCCAGACUAUUUGCAUUGCCCCCCCUUUCUACACUGCUGCUACUUUCUGUUAUUAUCUAUGCAUAGCCACUUUAAUAACUCUACCUACAUGUACCUCAAUUACCUCGACACUGGUGCCCCCGCACAUUGACUCUGUACCGGUACCCCCUGUAUAUAGCCCCGCUGUUAUUUACUGAGGCUCUUUAAUUAUUUGUUUUUGUUAUCUCUUACUUUUUUUUUAGGUAUUUUCUUAAACUACAUUGUUGGUGAAGGGCUUGUUAGUAAGUAUUUCCCUGUAUUCGGCACAUGUGACAAAUACAAUAUGAUUUGCAACAGUAGACGAGAAGGAGGGAGGUAGAGGACAAAGUGUAAAGAAUGAAUCAUUGUUCCAAGACCCAGCAUCUGAAAGGCCCCAACCCUAUAUCCCACCAUGUGCACUCCUUUUGUCCACAGCUCAAUUAAGGUAUAGCUACAAUUCCGGAUUCUUGUCUCUCUCAAUCACCCAUCCACCUCCAUCUGUGGUAGUCAGCAUGGACACCAAGCAGUGGAGAAAUGGAUGUUUCUAGAAAUCCACGUUGAAAUAUAACACUCCAAAAGCUAUCUGAAAUCCCUGUAGGUGACGGAACUCAUUGGUUAGGUGUUGUCAGACUUGAACAGAUACAGUGGAAAGUGUGGUCACAUCGAGGAAUUAGAGAUGGACUACUCAAUACAUAUUAGGAAAAGCAAUAGAGUGCUGUCCUACCAUAGUAGCUUAUUAAUGUUGGCCACCAAAUCACAUUCACAAUACCCCUUGAACAAAUGCUACCGCAGAACACGUACGCAACCACGCAUGCACACAGGUCAUCAUAGGCUGUGAAUAUUGCUUUUGCAUUCACUCCAUUGGGUCUGUUACUGUUCAGUUCCCCCUAGGCCUCACUGAAAUUGUGAAAGGCCUUAUUCAGAUGAGGCAGUGACUCAGCAGAUGUAUAGGUCAGGGGUUGACUAGCAAUGUCUAAUUCCUCUCCUCUGUAUCGUUUAAUAUGGGCCAAUAACUAUUAUAACGAUUCACGCAACCACCUGGCCCCUAGCCCAUCACAAGAUGUUAUGUCAGCUACAACACUAAAUGCCACUGUUAGAUAAUGACCCAUAACAGAUCACACAACGAGAGAGAGAUAGAGGGGGGCAGGUAAGGGAGUGUAGGGGAGUGAAAGAGGGUCAGUUAGUGCAGAUAGAGAGAGAGGCACAUGAUUUGGAUAAAAUUCAAGAAUUUGGUACAUAAACUCCCUUGACUUUGCAGGUCACGAAGUGCAACUCAAAUGCUCCAGAUACAGAAUAAGUGUCAGUAUUGCUUUAAACAUUGUCAUCCUACAAAUACAUUUUCCUGAUAACGUUUCACAACAAGCUGUCAAUGGUAAAAUCUUCAAGGAGAACCGGACAGGCAGAUGGACGGACAAACAGACAUUUUAAUUGGCUCCUCAUUCAAAGUGACAUUUUCACAGAGACCAUCAGUGAACAGAAAAGAGACUGACCAACCUCAGAAAACCCCCAAACGCUUCUCUUCCUCCCUUGUUCCAUCUCCCUUCUCAUCCCAUUCCUUCUCCUAUACCAUUCUCUCUGAUCCGCUUCUAUCUCUCAUAUCCUCUCCCCUCUCCCGUUUCCUCUACCUUUCCCUCUCAUCCUUCUGUCACCACCAAUUGGUCUCUCUCUCUGGACAUCAAAUGGACCUACGGAGCUAUGGACAGCCACGGGGAGCCCAGCACUGGUCCAUGUGUUGACUGCAGCAUGCUGCCUGGCUAGUCCACCUGGGCUGUGUCCCAAAUAGCACCCCCCCCCGCACUACUUUUGACCAGGGUCCAUAGGGCUAUGGUCAAAAGUAGUGCACUUUGUAGGGAAUAGGGUGCCAUUUGGGACGUACACAUGCUUAGGCCUGAUCUGCCUGGUCAUGUCAUGGGAGCUGCCCUGGGCUAGGAGCUGGAUGGAUAGGGAGAAAUGGGAUAGCUGCAGGUACUGUAGAUGUAUCAAGUGAUAGGUACAAUGGGGUAGAUACAGUUCAACGAGUUGGACCUAUGGCUGAAAUGUUGAAACUAUCAGGAAGUUAAUAAAUACAUCACUUCUUUGAGGGAGUCAGCAAACACACACUAAGAAGACAUGUCUUUCUUGGCAUGGAUAUUUUUUUACUGCAUCAUCUUUCUUUGUACUUUUGUUUGCAUUCAGCCCCAUUGCGUGAUUCACCAUGUUCUAUAGAGCAGCACAGUCUGAGUGUAUGUGGAGUAUAACUGUCACCUUGUUCUCUUGGUUGAACCUCUGGGCUCCUCCACAUCUCCUUCAAGGCUUUCCAAGGCUCACUCGGCAACUUUAUUUGAUCACUUGACUCGCUGAAAGCUAUUGGAGCCCAAGGUCUGUUAUCUGUUAUCAUUUCAGCCUAUUGGAGAAAUAGAUGAUUUCCCAGAGUUAAAUAGAAAAUGCCUGGUUACGACUGUAACUUUGGUUCUCUGAGGGAACUGAGGCACUAUGGGGAAUAAUGGGGAAUAAUGCUCGCUCAAGAGACUGAAAGAGAAUCUAUGUACUUUUGAUAUUGGCUCUCUUGGCUGAACUUCCUGCCAGGGUAUUGGGUGGUAGAUCCCACUGUGAGAGAGGACUGAAACACAGGCUAGAGGUCAGUGUACCGUCAAAAAGAGUUCUACGAGAGAGUUCUACGAAAGAGUUUAUCAAUGAAGAUCGCUGUAGAGAAUCUUUCAAAAAUGUGAAUCGCUUUUUCAGUGUCAUGGUCAGAUUGACAUCCACAGAUGAAUCCUAAUGUGAAUGCUUCUUCUCUACCGAGGUGGUACAUGUAUACAUCUACUGGGUCAAAAGCUACGAAGAGAGAAAUUCUGCACUUAGAAAAAGCAUCUUACAUUGGAAUAGUUAACUAGGCGUCUGAAUAAAAGGAAGCUCUAACUCUAUAAGAAACCGUACGAUUCAGAUUCAAAGUGAUUCCCUUUCUAGUGUGCAGAUCAUCAGGAGACAGGGUACGUAAAAUAAGAAAGGCCCACACCAUAUUUACCAAACACAAACGCCACAGAGAGAAAAUCUUACAGCUGAUGUUGGGAAAAAAUAAGAAAGUAUAACCACAAACCAAUAACACAAAGGACAGAACAAUCACUUGUGUUGGUUGACAUAACAAUGACAAAGGGUACAAGGUUGAGGGGUCUGUGUUGUGUCCCAUUGGGCAGAUGUCAAUUCAAUGCCAAUUUCACUGUGGUUCAACGUAAUUUCAUUGAAACGAAGUGGAAACAACAUUGAUCCAACCAGUGUGUGCCCAGUGGGGUGUGUCUGUGUUCCUGAGUCCUGUGGAACUGUGUAGGAGUGAGAGGGGGGAAAAAAGAGCCUGAAUGACCGACACAAAAGUGGAGUGAGUGAAAGAAAGAAAGAGAGAAAACAUGGUAUAUUUGGAACAAUUAGAGAGAUGAAGAAUGUGAAGAAACACUGUGCUCUGGAUUUUCUUCCUUGAGUGAAUAUAAAGCUUUUUCAGGGCUACAGGGUUCUAUGUUAGACUUCCCAUUCCCUCUUCCUGGGGUAGCUAGCAAAUCUUCUGAUGGGUUUGUGUGUGUGUGUGUUUGCUCCAUGCGUGUGUGUGAGCACACUCUGUAUCAACACUGACCCUCCUCUCCCCAGUCCUCAGUCCUCUCCUCGCUCCCUGAGAACCAACACAGAGCGGACACAGCUUUUACCCGCCCUUUCAUCUCAUUGUCCUCAGGAGCUAGUGUUUGUACUGUCUAUUCAGUACAGUCCACUUUGUACACCUUGGUUCUGUGGGAGAGGACAGGUGGAUGCAGACCACUAGUAUGGCCGGCUGGGUCUUGAGGCUGGCAGUGGGGUCAGUGUUCUGUGGGUCCGUAUUGCAGUGUGGGAACCUCGUCAGGGAGAGGGCUUCUGAAAUGGAAACCUGAUCCAAU